RNAcentral lists this ribosomal RNA (824 nucleotides) under uncultured bacterium. RNAcentral describes it as "bacterial SSU rRNA". It matches the Rfam family "Bacterial small subunit ribosomal RNA", at positions 28 to 864 of the family's 1533-position model. The record is from RNAcentral.
GACGAACGCUGGCGGCGUGCCUAACACAUGCAAGUCACGGGGGCCCGCAAGGGCAACCGGCGAACGGGUGCGUAACACGUGAGCAAUCUGCCGAUUUCUGGGGGAUAGCCGGUCCAACGACCGGGUAAUACCGCAUACGCUCAUUGGGGGACAUCCCCUGAUGAGGAAACCUCCGGGGGAAAUCGAGGAGCUCGCGGCCUAUCAGCUAGUUGGUGCGGUAACGGCGCACCAAGGCGACGACGGGUAGCUGGUCUGAGAGGAUGGCCAGCCACAUUGGGACUGCGACACGGCCCAGACUCCUACGGGAGGCAGCAGUGGGGAAUAUUGCGCAAUGGACGAAAGUCUGACGCAGCGACGCCGCGUGUGGGAUGAAGCUCUUCGGGGUGUAAACCACUGUUGCUCGGGACGAACCUCCCCUUUCGAGGGGACUGACGGUACCGAGUGAGGAAGCACCGGCUAACUCUGUGCCAGCAGCCGCGGUAAUACAGAGGGUGCAAGCGUUGUCCGGAAUCACUGGGCGUAAAGGGCGCGUAGGUGGCUUGGUAAGCGUGUGGUGAAAGCUCGGGGCCCAACCCCGAGUCGGCCAUGCGAACUGCCGAGCUUGAGCAUGGUAGAGGCAGGUGGAAUUCCGGGUGUAGCGGUGGAAUGCGUAGAUAUCCGGAAGAACACCGGUGGCGAAGGCGGCCUGCUGGGCCAUUGCUGACACUGAGGCGCGACAGCGUGGGGAGCAAACAGGAUUAGAUACCCUGGUAGUCCACGCCGUAAACGAUGGGCACUAGGUGCUUGGGGGAGCGACCCCUGAGUGCCGGCGCUAACGCAUNAAG